RNAcentral lists this long non-coding RNA (1069 nucleotides) under Selaginella moellendorffii. RNAcentral describes it as "long non-coding RNA (SMOE_LNC000199)". Lineage: Eukaryota; Viridiplantae; Streptophyta; Lycopodiopsida; Selaginellales; Selaginellaceae. The record is from RNAcentral.
UGGGCAGGAUGCACGUGUGGCCAGGAAGGGAAGAGGGCAUGGUGACAGGUGUUACACCAUAUGCUUCUAGGGCUCCAUGGCUGCUCUACUCGGAUGUAGUUGUGUGGGCAUUCCUGUGAAAAUCUGUGCAUCUGUAAGCUCCUAGAGGAGGUGCUUACGGGGAUAACAGGGGCAAGUAGAAUGGUAGUCGGGCACACAAUCCAGGCUCCUUUCGGGAUCAACUUGUUUGCGAGUGGUUCAUAAGCAGCACCACAGGCAGGGCUGGUGAGGGAGUGCGCCAGAAAUGAAGAGCUAGGCUAUGCUCAAAUCCUGGAGCUGACUGGCACCAUGGCAGUGGGUGUGGGUGAUGCAAGGUAUGCAAGUGACCAGAUGGUGUGUGUGACCCGACGCAUCAAUCACAUUUUCCUUCUUUGACAGCACACAGGUAAGCUAAGCAUUCUAGAAUUUCUCUCGAUCGUUGCUUUGGUUUAAACUGGUGCUAUAUAGAAGAGAAAGGCUGAAGGCAUCAAAGGAGUUCUUUGAGCUGUCAAAGGAGGGGAAGCUGAAGUACACUGCCAGUGAUCCUCCAGCAUCCACUCGAAGAGCCUGAGAGCCGAUGCUACAUCUCCCUGGUGGCAGUAGCCAGCAAUGAUCGCAUUCCAAGUUAUGGCGUCAGUGUCCUGUGCUGGCUGCCGAGUCGAAAACUUUGCGAGCUUUUGCCAUGCAGCCAUACCAUCCAUAGAAGCCCAGCAGAGAAUUCAUGACAACCACCUCGGCUUCCAUCUCGGCAUGACAGAUCUGUUGGUGGAUGGCCCUUCCAGUCACUAGAGCCCUGGAGCUCCUGCAAGCCCAGAGCACCAUAGCGUAAGUUGGAGCAUCAGGUAUUAGGCCUUGGACUUGCUGCAUUUGCGAGAAGAGAUCCAGCACAGCCGGUGCUUGCUCCGCCUGGAUGUAUCCAAGCAUCAGUGUUGUCCACGACACAACGUCGUGCCUCUCCAUCUGGUUGAAGACUCUCCAUGUGUCCACCUCACCUAGCAUUUGCUAGGCAAGUACUCAUUCAAAUAUGCUUGGAGAUUCUAGGAUAUUUUAA